GACGAACGCUGGCGGCGUGCUUAACACAUGCAAGUCGAACGGAAAGGCCCCUUUGGGGGUACUCGAGUGGCGAACGGGUGAGUAACACGUGAGUAACCUGCCCUUGACUUCGGGAUAACUUCAGGAAACUGGGGCUAAUACCGGAUAGGAAUCCUUGCUGCAUGGUGGGGGUUGGAAAGCUUCGGCGGUUUUGGAUGGACUCGCGGCUUAUCAGCUUGUUGGUGGGGUAGUGGCUUACCAAGGCUUUGACGGGUAGCCGGCCUGAGAGGGCGACCGGCCACAUUGGGACUGAGAUACGGCCCAGACUCCUACGGGAGGCAGCAGUGGGGAAUAUUGCACCAUGGGCGGAAGCCUGAUGCAGCAACGCCGCGUGCGGGAUGACGGCCUUCGGGUUGUAAACCGCUUUCAGCAGGGGCGAAGCUUGUGGUGACGGUACCUGCAGAAGAAGCACCGGCUAACUACGUG
RNAcentral lists this ribosomal RNA (465 nucleotides) under uncultured bacterium. Its description in RNAcentral is "partial 16S ribosomal RNA". It matches the Rfam family "Bacterial small subunit ribosomal RNA", at positions 28 to 507 of the family's 1533-position model. The record is from RNAcentral.